RNAcentral lists this non-coding RNA (381 nucleotides) under Pongo abelii (Sumatran orangutan). The record is from RNAcentral. Lineage: Eukaryota; Metazoa; Chordata; Mammalia; Primates; Hominidae.
CAGUUCCUCUCCUCUUCCCCACCAGGGUCCUCAGCCACACACCCCGAGCCCUGCCUGCGGGCCCAGCCCCCCCAUUUCCGGAGCCUGCACCCCGGACCCAGCGGGGGCCGAUCCCUGGGAAAGGCCUGGCUUCCUUUUCCUUCCUGUCCCUGCCCCACCUCCGCCGGGCUCCACAGCCGCCGGGAGUCCAGGGCCGAGACGGGAGGAGGGUACCCACCUGGUCGGUGUCACAUGCUGCUUCGGCCCCAGCGUCCCCUCCAGGUCCCGGCGCCGGCCGCAGUCCCCAGCGCCGUCCCCAGCGCAGGCCCGGCCGCCCCACCCGCGGCCCGCCCCUGGCCGCCCGACGGGAGGGAGGGAUCGGGUUCUCCUAGGAAGUUUCAG